Molecule: ribosomal RNA, 498 nt
Filed under: uncultured bacterium
Lineage: Bacteria
Description: partial 16S ribosomal RNA
Rfam family: Bacterial small subunit ribosomal RNA
Source: RNAcentral
AUUGAACGCUGGCGGCAUGCUUUACACAUGCAAGUCGAACGGUAACAGGCCGCAAGGUGCUGACGAGUGGCGAACGGGUGAGUAAUGCAUCGGAACGUGCCCAGUCGUGGGGGAUAACGCAGCGAAAGCUGUGCUAAUACCGCAUACGAUCUAUGGAUGAAAGCUGGGGACCGUAAGGCCUCGCUCGAUUGGAGCGGCCGAUGUUAGAUUAGGUAGUUGGUGGGGUAAAGGCUCACCAAGCCAACGAGCUGUAGCUGGUCUGAGAGGACGACCAGCCACACUGCGAAGGAGACACGACCCAGACGCCUACGGGAGGCAGCAGUGGGGAAGUUUGGACAAUGGGCGCAAGCCUGAUCCAGCAAUGCCGCGUGCAGGAAGAAGGCCUUCGGGUUGUAAACUGCUUUUGUACGGAACGAAAAGGUUUGGGUUAAUACCCUGGGCCGAUGACGGUACCGUAAGAAUAAGCACCGGCUAACUACGUGCCAGCCGCCGCAGUAA